GCAUGGUUCCUGUGAUUUCGGGUGAGUUAUUGGGGGUCGGUCGUCAUUCUAAAGGCCGGACCUGCCGGCUGCCAGCUCCGGUCACCGGCCGACGGACAUUAUAUAUCGAAGUUUUCAUAAUCGAUCCUUUCAGGACUUCGAAAAUCCCAUCGCUUGAUGUGAGAUGGCCAUUCCAGAUGAAGACGACGAGUUCUUGGCUCAAUUUCUCGAAUCAGAGGUUCUCUCGGAGGUCUCCGACAAGGAGGAGGGGAACGUGCAGGAGGAACCAAAGCCUAAGAGAGCUCGAAUCGAACAGAUUAGCCCUAACGAACAAAGAGAGGUAGUUUCUGUUACUAGUUCCUCCUCUCAAUCCAAGGGCGUUGUUCCUGGGAGGAUUGAGAGUGGAAUUUUCAGUAAAAUUCCUCCGGAGCUCUUCCGCCAUAUCCUCAAGUUUCUCUCAUCAGAGGAUCUCAUUUCUUGUUCAUUGGUUUGUCGAUUUUUAAAUUCUGCGGCGUCUGAUGAAUCAUUGUGGCGCAGAUUAUAUUGUCUGCGUUGGGGUAUGUUGCCCACGUCCAAGAAGUUGCGCCAAUGUCCUUGGAAAAAACUUUAUAUUCAGCGUGACGAAGAAGAUAUGACUCAACUGGUUCGAGAUUGUUCUUCUGAGUUUAAAGAGUACUACAUCCAAAUGCAAGCUGCAAAGAGAAGUCAAGCUCCUCUUCCUUCUCAGGUGCAGGAUGACCAAAUAAUUCUUGAUAGGACCAUGGCUGAUCAAGUAUCUACAUGGAAGAGCAGCAGGGGAUUGACUGACAAGAUAGUCCUAGAUCACACUUGUUCUGGAGAAACGUGUACAUAUUACCAAAUUGGAGAUGCAUUUGUAUGUGAAAAGACUGGACUUGUUCAUGUAUGUGACGACACUUGCAGAGAAGUCAUUAUGGAUCCCAAUGAUGAACAACUUGUCUGCACAAUAUCUGGACACUGCUUUGAUUCUCUACUUUUGCCAGACGCUAUGGAACCAGAUACUGAACAGCAACAAGCCGGUGGAACCGAUGAGGCGGAACCAUUCAUGGGUUCAGGCCGUUUUGGUAAAAAAGAUCAUGAUAUUUCCUUUUUUCUUUUCUAGUCUGAUUGUUUAUCAUACUUUGAAGAAUGCUGUGACACCCUAUUUAAAGAGAUAUAUAUAGAAUUAUUAGGAGAAUAUUAAUAUGAUUAUUCGAAGAGGCAUACUAGUGAAUAGCUCCAAAGUUUGUUAGGAUUUUAAGUUUAAAAUCAAAGGGCGUCGAGGAUGGGAGAAAGGUAUGAGGUUUUGGUGGGAUUUGCUCUGGAGAAUUUGGGAGGAACUUGCUUGACCCCUUGGGUUAUCUUGUUGCCUUCCUUGUAAUAUUACAAAAUAUUUCCAUAUAUUUUCAUAUUUAGGUAUUUCU
Molecule: RNA transcript, 1400 nt
Organism: Cucumis melo (muskmelon)
Lineage: Eukaryota; Viridiplantae; Streptophyta; Magnoliopsida; Cucurbitales; Cucurbitaceae
Gene name: F-box protein SKIP31
Exons: 9
Source: RefSeq, a predicted model, not a curated record